RNAcentral lists this ribosomal RNA (447 nucleotides) under uncultured bacterium. RNAcentral's name for it is "SSU rRNA". It matches the Rfam family "Bacterial small subunit ribosomal RNA", at positions 26 to 518 of the family's 1533-position model. The record is from RNAcentral.
AGAGCGAACGCUGGCGGCAGGCUUAACACAUGCAAGUCGAGCGGGCGUAGCAAUACGUCAGCGGCAGACGGGUGAGUAACGCGUGGGAACGUACCUUUUGGUUCGGAACAACCCAGGGAAACUUGGGCUAAUACCGGAUAAGCCCUUACGGGGAAAGAUUUAUCGCCGAAAGAUCGGCCCGCGUCUGAUUAGCUAGUUGGUGAGGUAAUGGCUCACCAAGGCGACGAUCAGUAGCUGGUCUGAGAGGAUGAUCAGCCACAUUGGGACUGAGACACGGCCCAAACUCCUACGGGAGGCAGCAGUGGGGAAUAUUGGACAAUGGGCGCAAGCCUGGUCCAGCCAUGCCGCGUGAGUGAUGAAGGCCCUAGGGUUGUAAAGCUCUUUGUGCGGGAAGAUAAUGACGGUACCGCAAGAAUAAGCCCCGGCUAACUUCGUGCCAGCAGCCGC